GCUUAGGGUCGAUGGAAAAGGAAUAAUUUAUACCAAGGUUUAAGCUCUUAGGUGUGGAUGAAGGUAGAGCCCAUUUUACUUUGAUGAUAGGACAGACUAGGGUUACAAGUUAAGGGCUGAGGGGCAAGAGUCUUUUCCAUGGGAGGAGAUUGGGAGGCAAGAUGUGGAAGGGACCAUGUGAUCAAGGACAUGGGGACCCUUCUCUAGCCCUUAAGUUAAAACCAUCCUUUGGGUUUGUUUCUGCUUUUCUCUCCCCACCUGUAGAUGUUGACUCUGUUCCCAUAGCAACCUAUGGACCUGUGUCUCCAACUGUUUCCUUCCAGCCCCUUCCACGUAUUGCCCCGAGGACAAACCUCUCGCCUGGGGUCACAGUAUCAGCUCUAUCUGCCAAGACCACUUUGU
RNAcentral lists this long non-coding RNA (402 nucleotides) under Rattus norvegicus (Norway rat). Its description in RNAcentral is "long non-coding RNA NONRATT018622". The record is from RNAcentral. Lineage: Eukaryota; Metazoa; Chordata; Mammalia; Rodentia; Muridae.